UUUUUUUUUUUUUUUUUUUGUAGAGGUAGAAUCUCCCUAUGUUGCCCAGCCUGGUGUGAACUCCUCGCCUCAAGUGAUCUCUCCGCCUCCGCCUCCCAAAGUAUUGGGAUUACAGGCAUAAGCCACCACACCCAGGCAGAAACACAAAUCUUUAGUGAGGUAGCAUUCCAUUUAGCUACAGAAGCACUUGGCAUACAGUUGACCUUUAAACAACUCGGGUUUGAAAUGCGUGGAUUUUACAUGUGGGGUUUUCUAACCAAACGUGGAUCAAAAACGCGGUACUCACACGAUACAAAAACAACAUACACAGAGGACUGAAUUUUCAUUUGCAUGUUUUCUGCCGGGUCAACCGUGGGACUUGAGUAUGCACAGAUUUUACUGUACUCAGGUGUCCUGGAACCAAUUCCUCACAUAUACCAAGGGACAACUGUAAUGUGAACACAAACCCAUAAACAGUGCGGCGUUACCAGCCUUCCCAGGAUGCAUGUGGCGGACAGAGGAGUCAGUGUCAAGAAGCGCUCCACUGAGAGCUGGGGGCCUCUGAGCUGGAGCUUACUGACAAGUGGAAGAUGCCCAGAUAAUAGGGUGCCAUGACAGAUUGUGGUGGUAGCAUUGUGAGCUGGUUGACAGCACAGAACUCUGGAAUCAGAUGGCCUGGAUUCAAAUCCUGAACUCACCCCUUAUUGGCUGUGUGAGCUUAGGCAAGUUACUCACCCUCUCUGUGCCCCAAUUUCUUCAUCUGCAAAAUGGGAAUAAUGAUAAUGGCGUUAUGGUUUACUGAAAGGAUUAAAUGAGUUAAUAUGUCUAAGUACUUAGAACAGCAUGCAGCACCAUACUAAGUGAUACAGAAGUAUUUGCUGUUUUUAUACAGAGCUUAGCGGCAUGAAGAAGUUAGACAAGCAAUGAGGAAUUCAAGAUGGUGUCCUGGAGUAGAAGAGAAAUCCGUUCUGGAAGGGAGACGUAGAUUACAGGACACACAGAGAUUUGGGUCUGGUUUCCAUGGCUGGAGGAAGGCGACAGUUGGCGAAUCCCUGCCCAUGUAGUGAUGUCCAGCAGAAACUGUCCUGAGACACAUCUUUGUCAUUCCACUAUUGCUCUGUCUCUGUACUUUCUCUUACCCUUCUUCCUGUCUGAAAACCUCUAGUCCUUUUAAUCAUAUGAAAUGUUCACGUUUUCCCAUCACAUCUUUUUAUAUAUGUAUGUCUGGGUGUAGGAAAUUUCUGUGCACCCCCAAGGACACCUGCAGCUCCUUUCUCUUUGAGUUUGGUGUGUGCCGGGAGGGUGGUCAGAAAACAGCCGUAGCCCCUCCUUUGCAACUGUUUCUGCUCUAGUCUUUUUGAUGGUGCAAGGUGUACCCUAGGGCUGAUUGUGUUCCUGGGAGCCGGAAGCUGUUACUGCAGGGUUAAAUCAGCAACAGGAGAGCAACACUCCCAGCAACCUCAGAAAGAAUAGAGAACGAUGUUCUUGAAGGGAGCUGGGAACUGUGUUCCUAGUGCCGUCUUCUUAAAAAAAAAAAAGUUUCCUUCCCCCUCUUCUCUCUGCCA
This 1544-nucleotide long non-coding RNA is filed under the name Macaca fascicularis (crab-eating macaque). RNAcentral describes it as "lncRNA (ENSMFAG00000047580.1)". Lineage: Eukaryota; Metazoa; Chordata; Mammalia; Primates; Cercopithecidae. The record is from RNAcentral.